ACUUACCAGAGCACUAUGAAUUAUUUAUUUAAAACUCAAAGAACUUGGCGGUGCCUUAGACCCCUCAGGGGAACUUGUUUCGUAAUCGACAGUCCACGUUAGACCUUACCUUUCCUGGAAUUUCCAGUCUGUAUACCGUCGUCGCCAGGUAACUUUUAAAAAAUUAGAUGUUAGCAAAAAAGUGACCUAUAAACUUUCACGUCAGAUCAAGGUGCAGCCUAUGGAAAGGAGAGAAUGAGUUACAAUUAAUAUUUAUAAUUACGAAUCACAGCGAUGCAAAUCCUGUGUUGAAGGAGGACUUGAAAGUAAGAAAUAGAAUAUAUAUAUUU
Molecule: ribosomal RNA, 329 nt
Filed under: Cerithideopsis californica
Lineage: Eukaryota; Metazoa; Mollusca; Gastropoda; Potamididae
Also listed under: 1 other name
Description: partial 12S ribosomal RNA
Source: RNAcentral